RNAcentral lists this ribosomal RNA (303 nucleotides) under uncultured bacterium. RNAcentral describes it as "partial 16S ribosomal RNA". It matches the Rfam family "Bacterial small subunit ribosomal RNA", at positions 507 to 807 of the family's 1533-position model. The record is from RNAcentral.
AGCAGUAGCCGCGGGAAUACGUAGGGUGCAAGCGUUAAUCGGAAUUACUGGGCGUAAAGCGUGCGCAGGCGGUUUGUUAAGACAGAUGUGAAAUCCCCGGGCUCAACCUGGGAACUGCAUUUGUGACUGGCAAGCUAGAGUAUGGCAGAGGGGGGUGGAAUUCCGCGUGUAGCAGUGAAAUGCGUAGAUAUGCGGAGGAACACCGAUGGCGAAGGCAGCCCCCUGGGCCAAUACUGACGCUCAUGCACGAAAGCGUGGGGAGCAAACAGGAUUAGAUACCCCUGUAGUCCCUGUCUCUUAUAC